Molecule: small nuclear RNA, 178 nt
Organism: Camelus ferus (Wild Bactrian camel)
Lineage: Eukaryota; Metazoa; Chordata; Mammalia; Artiodactyla; Camelidae
Rfam family: U4 spliceosomal RNA
About the family: U4 small nuclear RNA (U4 snRNA) is a component of the major U2-dependent spliceosome. The structure of U4 snRNA from yeast and human has been reported. U4 snRNA presents a k-turn RNA motif in the 5p-SL related to recognition of Snu13 protein.
Source: Rfam
AGCUUUGCACAGUGGCGGUAUGGUAGCCAGGGAGGUUUAUCCGAGGCGCGAUUAUUGCUAAUUGAAAAUUUUUCCCAUAAAGCAGAAAAAGCUAAAAAUCUACAUGAUUCAUGAAGACAAAUGUCUCCCCCAAAUCAAUAAUGAACAUUUUCUUUAAUGAUUUUAAAUGGUUAAACUA